AACGAACGCUGGCGGUAUGCUUAACACAUGCAAGUCGAACGAACAAAAUUUGGGCGUGCUCCAAUUUUAGUAAGUGGCAAACGGGUGAGUAACACGUUGGAAUCUACCUAUCAGUACGGAAUAACAUGUGGAAACAGAUGCUAAUACCGUAUAUUCUCCAAGGAGGAAAGAUGUAUCGCUGAUAGAUGAGCGCGCGUAAGAUUAGGUAGUUGGUAGGGUAAUGGUCUACGAAGCCGACGAUAUUUAGCUGGUCAGAGAGGAUGAUCAGCCAGACCGGGACUGCGACACGGCGCAGACGCGUACGGGAGGGAGCAGUGGGGAAUAUUGGACAAUGGGCGAAAGGCGGAGCGAGCAAUACCGCGUGAAUGGUAAAGGCCUUAGGGUUGUAAAGUUCUUUUAGUGGGAAAGAUAAUGACGGUACCAACAGAAAAAGCCCCGGCUAACUCCGUGCCAGCAGCCGCCGUAA
This 466-nucleotide ribosomal RNA is filed under the name uncultured bacterium. Its description in RNAcentral is "partial 16S ribosomal RNA". It matches the Rfam family "Bacterial small subunit ribosomal RNA", at positions 29 to 523 of the family's 1533-position model. The record is from RNAcentral.